This 301-nucleotide ribosomal RNA is filed under the name uncultured bacterium. RNAcentral's name for it is "partial 16S ribosomal RNA". It matches the Rfam family "Bacterial small subunit ribosomal RNA", at positions 509 to 809 of the family's 1533-position model. The record is from RNAcentral.
CAGUAGCCGCGGUAAUACGUAGGGUGCGAGCGUUAAUCGGAAUUACUGGGCGUAAAGCGUGCGCAGGCGGUUAUGUAAGACAGAUGUGAAAUCCCCGGGCUCAACCUGGGACCUGCAUUUGUGACUGUAUAGCUAGAGUACGGUAGAGGGGGAUGGAAUUCCGCGUGUAGCAGUGAAAUGCGUAGAUAUGUGGAGGAAUACCGAUGGCGAAAGCAGCCCCCUGGGCCAAUACUGACGCUCAUGCACGAAAGCGUGGGGAGCAAACAGGAUUAGAUACCCGAGUAGUCCCUGUCUCUUAUAA